AUGGCUCAGGAUGAACGCUAGCGGCAGGCUUAAUACAUGCAAGUCGUGGGGCAGCAUGAGUAGCAAUACUUGAUGGCGACCGGCAAACGGGUGCGGAACACGUACACAACCUUCCUUCAAGCGGGGAAUAGCCCAGAGAAAUUUGGAUUAAUACCCAUAAAAUAUAAAAAUGGCAUCAUUUAUAUAUUAAAGCUUCGGCACUUGAUGAUGGGUGUGCGGCUGAUUAGAUAGUUGGCGAGGUAACGGCUCACCAAGUCUACGAUCAGUAGCUGAUGUGAGAGCAUGAUCAGCCACACGGGCACUGAGACACGGGCCCGACUCCUACGGGAGGCAGCAGUAAGGAAUAUUGGACAAUGGACGAAAGUCUGAUCCAGCCAUGCCGCGUGAAGGAUUAAGGUCCUCUGGAUUGUAAACUUCUUUUAUAUGGGACGAAAAAAGAGAAUUCUUUCUCACUUGACGGUACCAUACGAAUCAGCACCGGCUAACUCCGUG
RNAcentral lists this ribosomal RNA (492 nucleotides) under uncultured bacterium. Its description in RNAcentral is "bacterial SSU rRNA". It matches the Rfam family "Bacterial small subunit ribosomal RNA", at positions 19 to 507 of the family's 1533-position model. The record is from RNAcentral.